Cotesia glomerata is the source of this 1370-nucleotide long non-coding RNA. RefSeq lists it as uncharacterized. The transcript has 2 exons. The record is from RefSeq and is a predicted model, not a curated record. Lineage: Eukaryota; Metazoa; Arthropoda; Insecta; Hymenoptera; Braconidae.
UUAUAAACUAAAAUAUCAUCAAAUGUAAUUAAUUAACUUUAAACAUUUUGUAUGAAAUUUUUUUUUUAUCGGCAUGGAAUUGAGAAUUAUACAAAAAGUACAAUUUUAGCUGGAGUUCUACGUGAUGAUUAGAAAAAAAUCUUUAAAUUGUAGCACAAAAGUGAUCAGCUGUGUGAUAAUUACAGUAUCACAUAUUAUUAUUAUUCAAUGUGACUUGUCCUUGAAAUAUUCUUUAUUAAUAUUUUAAUUUUUCGUCGAGUAUGUAUUACAUAGUUUUUGUUUUUUGUAUCAAUUGUAACAAUUCUUAUUAAAUUACACUUAUAUGUUUUUAAUAUUUUAUUUUUGUUUGAAAUUUGAAAAAGCCUUAUUAGAUUUAUAUUAAAUGAGAUGUCUGUAUUAUUAUAAUUUUAUUAAGGAUUACUCGAACUUUUUAAGCCAAAUAUAUUUACUCAUUCUCUUCAGAAAAGAAUUCUUCUGUUACGAAUGUCAACUAGAAUGUCGUAGUACUCCAAAAAAUCUGCACCGAUGAUUAGUUCGUCAGUGUCAGCAAUCGUAAAGUUCCAAUAAAAAACUCUACCUAAUCCAAAAUCCAAUUUCAUUUUAGUGGUUCCGUAUGUUCCAAUUACACUUCUAUUUGCUGCUUGUAAAUUAUUGUUACGAUUACGCUUUGGUAUUAUACGUCGAGGAAUGAGAUAACGAGGAUAAAUACUACGACAAGCACCAGUAUCAAUUAAAAAUUCCAUGCCCGAAGCUCUUACAAACAGACAAGCGUUUCGAUUAACAUUAAGUAUAGGAUUUAAUUGUAACAUAUCUACUGAAAACGCGAUUUCAAAAAGAGCAAUUCGGAAUUUUCAUUUUGAACUUUUUUACUACAAUACAAUGCGCAAGCAUUGUAUUUUCUCAUAACAUAAUUUUUCAUUUAUGUGGAAAAAAUGCUAUAUAGUACCUGUUACUAUGUGGGGUACCUAUAUUAGUUAAGCGUGAUGGAAGUAACCGUGGCGAACUCUAUUGGAUAUUAAAGUAAUUAUGGUUGGGUAAGACAGAAAUCAACCAUUCUCACUAGAUAACACGCAAGUAUGCAAUCUACAUUAAUUAAUACGUUUGAAUAUAUUGUAGAAUUCAUACUAAACAAUUGAGAUUGCUUGUUACAAUUAAUUAUUAUUAAUGAAUAAUUUAUAUUUUUAUGUUUUAGGACAUCGUAAUGAAUGAUUUCAUAAUGAAUCCUAAUCAAUAACGUAAGAUAAGUUCACCACUUACUCUUGCUAAUAUUGAAGAUAUUCCUGUAAGUAUUAAAAAAAAGUCAUCAGGCAGCGGAAAUGGAAGUAGAUUUCUUCCCCGUAUACAAAACAGUAAUGAAAAUUCUAAAAAUC